UUGGGGAAUCUUGCGCAAUGGGCGAAAGCCUGACGCAGCCAUGCCGCGUGAAUGAUGAAGGUCUUAGGAUUGUAAAAUUCUUUCACCGGGGACGAUAAUGACGGUACCCGGAGAAGAAGCCCCGGCUAACUUCGUGCCAGCAGCCGCGGUAAUACGAAGGGGGCUAGCGUUGCUCGGAAUUACUGGGCGUAAAGGGCGCGUAGGCGGACAGUUUAGUCAGAGGUGAAAGCCCAGGGCUCAACCUUGGAAUUGCCUUUGAUACUGGCUGUCUUGAGUACGGGAGAGGUGAGUGGAACUCCGAGUGUAGAGGUGAAAUUCGUAGAUAUUCGGAAGAACACCAGUGGCGAAGGCGACUCACUGGCCCGUUACUGACGCUGAGGCGCGAAAGCGUGGGGAGCAAACAGGAUUAGAUACCCUGGUAGUCC
Molecule: ribosomal RNA, 425 nt
Filed under: uncultured bacterium
Lineage: Bacteria
Description: partial 16S ribosomal RNA
Rfam family: Bacterial small subunit ribosomal RNA
Source: RNAcentral